UUCCAUCAAAGAGAAAAAUAAUUCAGAAGCAUCCCUCUCUUUUUUACAUCAACUACAUAAUUGUUUCCAACCAAAUAGCAAUUUGUUAUCAUCAAAAGUGAAAAAUUGUAACCCUGUUACAAUUAUGACAUAUGUUCCGCAAAGUACAAAAAAUGGCCACUGACAAUUCUUUUUGCAACAAAAAACAAGAAAAAAAGCGUACACCAUUAUUUUCAGUCCAAUCUAGUAGCAUUGUAUCAAUGUUGUUGAAGAGCUCUGCAUAUUUUCUAGUUUGUACCAACAAGGAAUCCGCUCGACAAAGUGUAGCGCUUCAUCUUGGUCAUUAUGCUCUAGACAUCAUUCAAUAUCCUUGAUGUGUGCCUAGCUACAAAUUUUUGCUGCAAAAAUGUAUGUAUUACAAAAACAUCAUUCACACAUAGUGAAGCAUGGUAAGUAGUGGUUGAAGCAAAAUAAUUCACCACAAGAAUCAUAUGUUGAAAUGGUUGAUGCAUACACCUGUCAACCAAAAUCGUUGAAGCAAAAUAAUUCAUCACAAACAAUGCACAAAUAGCCGCAACCACUUGAGAUUGUUUGUGGUGGUCUACAACAGAAACAUAUGUGAGAAAUACACAUGCAUGAUUGACAACUGUAUGUAUCGAACCAAUGUGCAAUAUACGAGAAACAAAAUGCAUGGAUAGUACGUUUAAUCUGAUCAGGCUUGAAUCUAUAUGACAUGGAAAAUUUUGACAUGCAAUUCAUGAACCAAAAAUUCCACAACAGACACAUCUCUAAGAAGCAUCCCAAUCAUACAUGAAUACAGGGAGGAGAACCCUUACCUGCUUGUGUUGUGGAUGGUGAUCGGAGAAGUUCCCCUGGAUAGGAAACUAGGAAUCUAUAAGGAUGAAAGAGGAAAUAAUUGCCUCCAUGAAGUUGCUUGGACAAGGCGAGGUACAAUAGUAGCUCCAUAGCCUGUUACUCUACCUCGCCUCCUGGUUCACCUCUCUUGUUGACAUGUUCUCCUGGAUUGAAUUUUGGAACGAUGGGAAUGAGGAAGCGAAAUCAGGUGGAAGCUGGGAGGGAUUGCAUGCGUGUUGUUAGGGGAGGGGUUACAUGUGGAGGGCACGGGUGUUAG
Molecule: long non-coding RNA, 1111 nt
Filed under: Hordeum vulgare
Lineage: Eukaryota; Viridiplantae; Streptophyta; Magnoliopsida; Poales; Poaceae
Description: long non-coding RNA (HVUL_LNC018058)
Source: RNAcentral